RNAcentral lists this ribosomal RNA (450 nucleotides) under uncultured bacterium. RNAcentral describes it as "partial 16S ribosomal RNA". It matches the Rfam family "Bacterial small subunit ribosomal RNA", at positions 338 to 795 of the family's 1533-position model. The record is from RNAcentral.
CCUACGGGGGGCUGCAGUAGGGAAUCUUCCGCAAUGGACGAAAGUCUGACGGAGCAACGCCGCGUGAGUGAAGAAGGUUUUCGGAUCGUAAAACUCUGUUGUCAGAGAAGAACAAGUUGGAGAGUAACUGCUCCAGCCUUGACGGUAUCUGACCAGAAAGCCACGGCUAACUACGUGCCAGCAGCCGCGGUAAUACGUAGGUGGCAAGCGUUGCGCGGAGCUAUUGGACGCAAUUCCUUAACAGGGAGGUGAAAGCCCACGGCUCAACCGUGGAAGGUCAUUGGAAACUGGGGAACUUGAGUGCAGAAGAGGAGAAUGGAAUUCCAUGUGUAGCGGUGAAAUGCGUAGAUAUAUGGAGGAACACCAGUGGCGAAGGCGACUCUCUGGUCUGUAACUGACGCUGAGGCUCGAAAGCGUGGGGAGCAAACAGGAUUAGAUACCCGAGUAGUC